AAAUUGAAGAGUUUGAUCAUGGCUCAGAUUGAACGCUGGCGGCAGGCCUAACACAUGCAAGUCGAGCGGUAGCACAGGAGAGCUUGCUCUCCGGGUGACGAGCGGCGGACGGGUGAGUAAUGUCUGGGAAACUGCCUGAUGGAGGGGGAUAACUACUGGAAACGGUAGCUAAUACCGCAUAACGUCGCAAGACCAAAGAGGGGGACCUUCGGGCCUC
This 217-nucleotide ribosomal RNA is filed under the name Enterobacter asburiae. Its description in RNAcentral is "partial 16S ribosomal RNA". It matches the Rfam family "Bacterial small subunit ribosomal RNA", at positions 1 to 216 of the family's 1533-position model. RNAcentral also lists the same sequence under 1 other name. The record is from RNAcentral. Lineage: Bacteria; Pseudomonadati; Pseudomonadota; Gammaproteobacteria; Enterobacterales; Enterobacteriaceae.